Molecule: transfer RNA, 71 nt
Filed under: Marmota monax (woodchuck)
Lineage: Eukaryota; Metazoa; Chordata; Mammalia; Rodentia; Sciuridae
Description: tRNA.Ala
Rfam family: tRNA
About the family: Transfer RNA (tRNA) molecules are approximately 80 nucleotides in length.
Source: RNAcentral
GGGGUUGUAGCUCAGUGGUAGAGUGUUCGCCUUGCAUGUGUAAGACACUGCAUUCGAUCCUCAGCACCACA